Xyrauchen texanus (razorback sucker) is the source of this 334-nucleotide long non-coding RNA. RefSeq lists it as uncharacterized. The transcript is spliced from 3 exons. NCBI's taxonomy places the organism in Eukaryota, Metazoa, Chordata, Actinopteri, Cypriniformes, Catostomidae. The record is from RefSeq and is a predicted model, not a curated record.
CCAAGUGUUACAUCAAGAAAGUGCCUGUGCCGUUGUUCAUUGAAGAUCAGGAGCAAAUUGAUGUUAUGUUCACUCACCUGACUUCAAUUCUGGACAGCACACCCACACCCACAGUGACCAGAUCAGAUUCAUUAUGGAUGUCCUUUUUCCAGAGUCCAUCAUCUGUGCUCUCGCUGUUGUGGGACAUGUGUCCAUCUUGGAGGCUGAGGAGAAAUUCCUGCGAGGACCUGUCAUUGACGCAAGUGAGCGGGAGCACUUUGACAUGAGGAUAAAAAAACAACUUAAGAAGAGUGGCAAGACAUAGGAGUCAACUUCAGGAGUCAUCCUAUACAUG